GAUGAACGCUGGCGGCGUGCCUAAUACAUGCAAGUCGAGCGAACAGAUGAGGAGCUUGCUCCUCUGACGUUAGCGGCGGACGGGUGAGUAACACGUGGAUAACCUACCUAUAAGACUUGGAUAACUUCGUGAAACCGGAGCUAAUACCGGAUAAUAUAUUGAACCGCAUGGUUCAAUAGUGAAAGACGGUUUUGCUGUCACUUAUAGAUGGAUCCGCGCCGCAUUAGCUAGUUGGUAAGGUAACGGCUUACCAAGGCAACGAUGCGUAGCCGACCUGAGAGGGUGAUCGGCCACACUGGAACUGAGACACGGUCCAGACUCCUACGGGAGGCAGCAGUAGGGAAUAUUCCGCAAUGGGCGAAAGCCUGACGGAGCAACGCCGCGUGAGUGAUGAAGGUCUUCGGAUCGUAAAACUCUGUUAUUAGGGAAGAACAAAUGUGUAAGUAACUAUGCACGACUUGACGGUACCUAAUCAGAAAGCCACGGCUAACUACGUG
RNAcentral lists this ribosomal RNA (497 nucleotides) under uncultured bacterium. Its description in RNAcentral is "partial 16S ribosomal RNA". It matches the Rfam family "Bacterial small subunit ribosomal RNA", at positions 28 to 507 of the family's 1533-position model. The record is from RNAcentral.